CGGGUUCCGGAAAGCGGGUGGCGCAGGCGGGGAGCGCGUCAGGGAGCGGCCCUGGCUGCGGGGUCGCGGCCUUGGAGAGAUGAUGCGGGGCGCAGGACGAUUCACGAUCCCAGGUGGACUUGCGCGCUCGAAACCAGCGAUCACAGGGCCCAAAUGGAAACCAGAGAGCUCCGAAUAGGCCACAGCGGUCAGUUACCCAGGACUGCAGAGACACCCUUCACUCCUGCAUGCGUUUGAUCUGACUCCACCAGAAGGUCCAGUCGCCAACGCCUAGCUGAGGUCCCAGGCCAGGCCUUACCCCCAACCCCUACCCUCUCAGCCUCCAAUUGAAAGAAGGCCUGCCGGCUCCAACUCAAUUAGCACAAAGGCGGCGGCGGGCACCCUGGUCUGUGCCGCAGGGCAGGGAGCGUCCUGGCGGGCAGGUAGAGAGAAGUCCGCUAGCCCCGGGUGUUAUCAGCAAGCGGCUUAAUCAGGAAUUUGAGCUGACAACGUGCGCACCGCCACCCGGCUCCGCCAGCCGGUUGACGGUGGGAGUGAGACCCGAGAGGCUGGAGUCCCAGACUUCAAAGCUGCCCGAGGUGCGGCGGCCUUGGGGAAGGGGGCGCCCGGCGACAAUCGGCAACCCCGAGCGCCGCCUGGACAGAAGCCGGCGGGCCAGUGGGCGCUGGACCAUCUUCCCUGCGAAACAUCACACAAAGAAGAAAACGACAAGGCAGACCAACAGAUGAACAGGAUCCAGAGUGACCAGAACCAGACCAGAUGUCCCAUGAUGACAUCACAGGAGGGACCGACAUUGUGGGAAUGGUGCUUGAAGAUGAUGGUGACACUUUCUGGGAAGACCUUCCCGGAUCUCCAGAGGUACGGAACCGAGGUCCAAAUUUGCAUGGUGAGUCCCAACCUCCACCACUGGUCUUUGUGCCCUCCUGGUAGAGCUGUGCCCUGCCCGUGUGGUUAUAAUGGGGCCAUCACAUGUGUGUAGAGGAUGAAGACAGCCACAGUGACAUGCCGGACAUUUAUUAUGCAUCAGUAGUCUCCAUCCACUGUGCCCACAGCACCCACUUGAGAGUCACUCCUAGCUGACAUGGUACCUCAACUGGAAUCCUCUAUCCAAGGAUCUUGUGGACCACAUGAGGCUAAUUAGAAUAUGCUCUUCUCUGCGGCUGCUGGUCAGGGAUGAGCGCUCUCCCAUGUCUGCUUCUGUUAGCCGUGAAUGAGUCUGCCUUCUUUUUAAGGAAUGAAUAUAUAUUCUUUGAUGGUUCCAUACAUGUACACAUGUACUGUCUGUUGAUUAUAUUUUACGCCACACCCCUUACUCCCCCAUGUCUUCCCAAAAUCUCUUCUCUCUCCUCUCUUCUCCCUCCCCUCCAUCCUCUUCCUUCUCCUCCUCCUCUUCUUUAAAACCACACCCAGUCCAGUGAGUGUUGCCUGAACACACAUGGGCAUUGAGCCAUCCCAGGGACUUGGGCAACCUACCAGCAGUCAUCCAUACCUUUGGAGAAGCUCGGCCGUCCUUCCUUGGAAGCAUCCAUUGUAAGUAGAUCUUCACCCAGGGAUGGGAUUUUAUGAGCCUCUCCCGUCCAUGCUGGAUAUUGACUGACUCCAUCGUGUGUGAAUCACCACAGCUGCUGUGAGUUCGUGAAUCCGAUGCUCACACAUCGUGGCCAGAGGACAGCAUUUCACUCCCCUCUCCCAGCCUCUAGCUUUGAUGUUCUUUCUGCUUCCUCUCCCAUAAUGUCCCCUGAGCUUCACAGGGGAUAGGUGGAUAUAGGUGUCCCAUCAGGGGUGAACACUCACGGUCACUUACUGUUAGCACUUUGAUCAAGCCGUGAGUCCCAGCACUAACCACUACACUGGAAGAAACAGCUUCCUGAGCAAUGCUAAUUUAUGGAUAUAAAUAGAAAUAUUGAGAAGGCAAUUUGACAGCGUGUCCAUUUAACCGGUAGUUUCUCCCCUAGGGCCUAUGACCUCCGGACCCACAGCUUUUGACUAGGUGCAUGGCACUAGAUUUGUGUUCCCUCCUCUGAAGCAGACCUCAGAUCCCGUCAGAAAACGGGUGGCUCCCACAACCACCAUGCCUCUAUGGCACUGGUAGCAGGGCUUGCUUUGGCUUUGUUCCUUAACUUCCAGCUACCUUGAGAUCUUCUAGGCAGCUCCCCUGCAGCCAGAGGACCAGCUAUUCAGCUGCGUGUGACAGAUGACAAUGUUCCUUCCCCUACCCGCCUGCCCACCCAGAGCUCUGACCUGGUGUCAGCCUCUUGUGCUGAAUGGAGGCAUCUACAGCUGCUGGAAAUUAGAGCGCUCCGUUCCGUGGUAUUACGCGGCGGCACUCCACGGGCCUGGGAGUGCAGAGCUGAUUGGAUGUCCCACCCAAAGGAGAGACGGUUCAAGCUCUUUCCAGGAAAUUGAGUGGAACACCCAAACUGACAUCCAAUAUUAAAUAUUGUAUUUGUGGACUUGU
RNAcentral lists this long non-coding RNA (2458 nucleotides) under Mus musculus (house mouse). RNAcentral describes it as "Foxf1 adjacent non-coding developmental regulatory RNA (Fendrr)". Lineage: Eukaryota; Metazoa; Chordata; Mammalia; Rodentia; Muridae. The record is from RNAcentral.